This is a long non-coding RNA of Solanum tuberosum (potato), 560 nucleotides long. RefSeq lists it as uncharacterized. NCBI's taxonomy places the organism in Eukaryota, Viridiplantae, Streptophyta, Magnoliopsida, Solanales, Solanaceae. The record is from RefSeq and is a predicted model, not a curated record. The transcript has 2 exons.
AUUUCACGAAUGCAUAAAGUAUGUUUUUGCUCCUCAGUAGCAUCGAACAAAUAGUGGUAAAGUCGUUGAGAAGUUAAAUAAAACUUGAAGGGAAACUAAUUUUAUCAUUUUCCGAAUUCUCUAAACAUGUUAAUACAUAUUUACACAUUUACAGCAUCAAAUUCACCUUCAUUAUUCAGAAGCACUUGCUGAAUUACUCCCAAUCGACAUCAAAGAAGCCAGCAUCUUUCAUUUCUGAGUAGUAUACAUUCUCCAGAUGCAAGUCGUCCUCCUGCACACACGAUUUAGAACAGAGCCGGUAAAGGAUACGUAUGGGAGGGGCAUAAGUGAGAAUGAAUGAUGAGAAAAUGAUACCUGCAAAAAGUCCGCUAGGAAAGUAAUAUACAGAAGAGGAAGGUACAUGGCAUGGUAACAGAUGACCGUGAUAUUGUACAACCUGUAAUGCAAAAUGAGGAUCUCUUAGUAAACUAAAAGUAGCUGAAGCAUGCAUCGAUUUAUAUUAAUUGGAUACAACUGUUUGGAUGUGAUAGCAAUGCAUUUCUCUAUUGUUUUUGUGUGAA